RNAcentral lists this ribosomal RNA (253 nucleotides) under uncultured bacterium. RNAcentral describes it as "partial 16S ribosomal RNA". It matches the Rfam family "Bacterial small subunit ribosomal RNA", at positions 524 to 776 of the family's 1533-position model. The record is from RNAcentral.
UACGUAGGGUGCAAGCGUUAAUCGGAAUUACUGGGCGUAAAGCGUGCGCAGGCGGUUAUGUAAGACAGAUGUGAAAUGCCCGGGCUCAACCUGGGAACUGCAUCUGUGACUGCAUCGCUGGAGUACGGUAGAGGGGGAUGGAAUUCUGCGUGUAGCAGUGAAAUGCGUAGAUAUGCGGAGGAACACCGAUGGCGAAGGCAAUCCCCUGGACCUGUACUGACGCUCAUGCACGAAAGCGUGGGGAGCAAACAGG